This 363-nucleotide ribosomal RNA is filed under the name Triticum aestivum (bread wheat). RNAcentral's name for it is "partial small subunit ribosomal RNA". Lineage: Eukaryota; Viridiplantae; Streptophyta; Magnoliopsida; Poales; Poaceae. The record is from RNAcentral.
AUGGCCUUGCAUGAGACUUUACAUGGCAUGAUGUCUCAAAAGGAUGUGAGGGACGAGAACAAGCGGCAAAGAAAGGACGAGCAAAUGAAGCAAUACCUAGAGCUUCAAAGAAAGAAGCUUGAGAUGGAGGAGGCGGCCGAGAAGAGGAAGUUGAUUUGGAGGAGGCGUCCCGGCAAAGGCAGCUCGACAUCGAGGCCACCAAUGUUACGGCCAGGCAGAGGCAGCUCGACAUCGAGGCAACCAAUGCCGCAACCAAACAAAGGAGGUGGCCCUUGCGAUCAUGAGCGUGGACUUGACCAAGAUGAGCGAGAAUGGUUCGAGGCCAGGCAGAAGGAGAUGUUCGACGUCGACGGCCUGAACUAG